ACGGGAAUAGCUCAAUUGGCAGAGCACUGGACUCCAAAUCCAGGUGUUGGGGGUUCAAGUCCUCCUUCCCGUGCCA
Molecule: transfer RNA, 76 nt
Filed under: Halanaerobacter jeridensis
Lineage: Bacteria; Bacillati; Bacillota; Clostridia; Halanaerobiales; Halobacteroidaceae
Also listed under: 1 other name
Description: tRNA-Trp
Rfam family: tRNA
About the family: Transfer RNA (tRNA) molecules are approximately 80 nucleotides in length. Their secondary structure includes four short double-helical elements and three loops (D, anti-codon, and T loops).
Source: RNAcentral